Physella acuta is the source of this 232-nucleotide long non-coding RNA. RefSeq lists it as uncharacterized. Lineage: Eukaryota; Metazoa; Mollusca; Gastropoda; Physidae. The record is from RefSeq and is a predicted model, not a curated record.
CCAGAGGCUAAUGUCGAGUUAGCCUUGACAAAUCUAGUCGGGAGUAACGCAAAUAACAUAAUCCAUCACACCAUCAGUAGAUACCAGUCUUUUUUCUACGGCGAUCAAAAUUGUGACCAGUCAAGCACAGACACUGUGACUAAAAGUGUCACUAUAACUAGCACAGAAACUAUCGGUGUGAUUGUGGCGUAUUGCGGGUUUAGUGUGAAGAAUAAAGAAAUGUGGAGUGUAG